Molecule: long non-coding RNA, 2425 nt
Organism: Antechinus flavipes (yellow-footed antechinus)
Lineage: Eukaryota; Metazoa; Chordata; Mammalia; Dasyuromorphia; Dasyuridae
Exons: 3
Source: RefSeq, a predicted model, not a curated record
UCUAUGCAGGAAGAUGUUCUUUGUUACAAAGAAUUAAAAGACAAUGAAAGAAGGAGAGGAGAAAAAAUAAAAGGAAAAGAGCUAGAUGUUUGUUUCUUAGACUCCAUGAUUAGAACAUAGGAAGAGGGUGUCAACUCCCACCAUAGUUUUAUCCCUUUUCUCUGUCCAGCUUCUGAAAGUUCUUUGUUUCACCAUGGCGACAAGAGUAUACAAAGCAUGUGGGUCUGGGUAUCUCAGAGCCAGGAGUAAAUUCUGAACUGGACAGAAGGAGGAAGACAAAGGAGCCUUUUCAACUUUUUGUCAGCUAGUGGGAAAAUGAUAGUUGAUUUGCUGUGAACAUUUAAAUGAACAGAACACCUCUGACAGUUCCCAUGGUUUGUUAAACUCAUUCACCCUGCCCCAUACCAAAUGGCCAACUCUGAACCCAUCGACAAGUGACUCUUGGAGCUAAUUCCAACUGCAUUUUGCUCUCUGUUGUACAGUAUUUCAGUGACAGAACCCAACACGUGUGUGUUUGGCGAGGCUGGCGGAGGUUAAGAAGGAGCUGAGUAUUAAGUUAAGGUGGCUGAACAACAAUGGAAAGAUGAUCCUUGGCCUUUUCUGAUCCCGGGAGGAGCUGGGAAUUGAGAACUCUGUGUGGUCUUAGAAAUCAUCUCCAGCUUCCCUCACAGGCUGCUGCUUCUUAGGAGAAUCCCAGGGAAAGGCAGCAGUGAAAUAGUGGGACCUCAAUCCACAGAAGCUGACGUCAGACCCAGGUCAAGAUACAAGAGAAACCCACUGAAAGCCAGUCCCCCAAAUUUUCCAGAGAAGCGGAUGGUUCACAGCUGAUCCAAGACCCCACCAAAUGCCCAAGAACUUUGAGGAGAACCAAGUGCUUUUGCAGAUUUCAUCUUGGCUCUGAUUUGGAGAAACACUGGAGGAUGGAGUCUCUGUUGAAAAAGCAACAGCAGAUCUCAGUUCCAGCAGCCCUGAGAUCCAGUCAAGAGGAUGGGGGGCCUGAGACUCAAACCAACAUACUUUUGAACUGGGACAAGUUGGAGAGCACCGGCAAACCCUCUUCUUGACAUUUAAAAUCUUGUAUCAUAGUGUAUAAGUUUAAAAACCAAACAAACACCCGAGUGUUACCUGUGUUUAUUUGUAAAGGAACAAUCCCCGGUUCUGAAAUGUUUGAUGAUUUUGCCUUGUUUAUGUCCCCUGUUUUUUCACCCAAGAAAUAUCAAAUAGGAAAUCACAAUAACAAUGUGAUUUUAUCUUGAAAACAGCUUUACAAAGGCCCUAACUUGGAAAAUUAGGGUCCUUGAAUGAAUUUUUUCAGGGUCCCUUGACAGACCUCUGACCGCAAGGAUCUUAUUAUUGUCUGGCAUAGGGACACCUGAAUGAAUUAAAGAAAGUCUCAGGAAGCUUUUGUUCAGGGAUGUAGUUGUAACUGAGCUCAUGAAAUAAAGUCAAUCUUGCCUGGUCCCUGGUCUACAAUCUUCCCUUAUCACUGCUAGCAGCUUACAACACAGCCAUAGGAGCACAAAUUAUACAAGCAAACACAAAAACAGACAUACAGUGAAAGAUCUCUUGGUAACUUAAUUUCCUGGCUCUGUACUGGUCUGACACGGUUUCUCCUGGCUCUCUUGAUCUCCAUCCCAUCAAUAUUUUCAGUUUUGCUGUCACAUUAUGAGAUGGCUUAGAACCAUAUAGUUCUGACUCCAUUUCUAGAAGGAAGCUCUUCACAAUCUCAGCAUGGCAGAGAGGCUGGUCCCUUGUCCAUAUUCUUGGCUGCAGCUCUUGCUUCUUGUUCCAUGGAGAAUCGCUUUACCUAUCUCAGUGUGCAACCUCUAGUCAUUGAUAUAAUCCUGUAUGAUCAGUCCUGUAAAUGAUUUGAGUAAUGCUGUUCCUAGGGAUGUCUAGCUGAAAACACAUACAUUUUCAGGCAUUAGCUUAUUUCCAGGAAAUGCCCGAGUCAUAUUUGGUCUGAACAUUCAAACUGAGCUGGGUUAUCAGCUGGAGUUUGAAAUCUGCUCAAACAUGCAUGGUAUUUCAGGUUUCUGUACGAUAUGUAAAAUGUUCUGCACGCUGUAUUAGAACGGGGCCCAAAUUGCUGUCUGUGAAAUGUGAUUUCUGUCCAGUCUUGAAGUUGGGGUGGUGGUAGAGUAAUUAUACAUAGAAAAAUUGACUGCCGGUCUACAGAACAUAAAGCACCGAGUCAGUAUGGUGACGUUUGAAAUGUCGAUUCCUAAGACAAAGCUGAAAGGCGAUAUCUGUAAGCAAUAACGGCUGCUCAGGCCUUCGCCAAGAUCCCGGCUCAUUUAAAAGGGUCCUUUCGGAAAGAGUCAAGAAUAAGGAGUGAUAGGAUUUAUGGAAAUUGUGGUUGUGCUGACUUGCAUUAUGUAAAUGUGCCUGCUUUACAAUAAAACACAUUUGUUUUCUUUGGCAA